CAUCAUGAGAAAUUAUUGCCGAAGAAAUUACUUUAAAACAAAGUCAAUAGAAACAUGCAGUGAUGUCUUCUUAUUAGCAUUUUUGCAUAUAAACAUCAAAUUUGAGGCUCUUCAAUUGAUAAAUUUGGAUAGAAAGCUACUAUUUCAUAUUUGUGCUGCAGUUGUUUCGUAUGUUCUUAUCAUGCUGCAAUUUAGCAUUCAGGAAAUUCAACUGAUAUUUUUAAGCGGUAACGAGUAUUCACAUUACGAAAUUUAAAAAUUCAUUCAACUAAUAUUGAAUCAAUACCAUGUUUAAUAAAAAACAAAUAGAAAUUUAAUAUAUUAUAAAAAAAAGAUUGGUUGAAAAUUCAUAUUAUAAGAAAAUACUAUUUUCUCCGA
Molecule: long non-coding RNA, 378 nt
Organism: Phlebotomus papatasi
Lineage: Eukaryota; Metazoa; Arthropoda; Insecta; Diptera; Psychodidae
Exons: 2
Source: RefSeq, a predicted model, not a curated record